Molecule: non-coding RNA, 223 nt
Organism: Pelobates cultripes (western spadefoot toad)
Lineage: Eukaryota; Metazoa; Chordata; Amphibia; Anura; Pelobatidae
Source: the annotation of a GenBank genome assembly
GUCCUAUGUCUCUAAUCCAUUCAACUGGGAAUAAAACCUAAAGUUUUCAAAGGACAUGAGGAGGUUAGAGUUCAAAGAUACUGUGACUUCUAUGAGAAUGGUUCUAUUGUUUACUUUGACAUCCUCUUUCGGAGAGGUCUUCCUCCAACAGGUAAUUUUUCCACUAUCUCCAAUUAUAUAGUUUUGCUAGUGUCGCAGGGGUGGCUCAAGCUGCCAAGUAGAG